RNAcentral lists this ribosomal RNA (744 nucleotides) under uncultured Hyphomicrobiales bacterium. RNAcentral's name for it is "bacterial SSU rRNA". It matches the Rfam family "Bacterial small subunit ribosomal RNA", at positions 8 to 796 of the family's 1533-position model. Lineage: Bacteria; Pseudomonadati; Pseudomonadota; Alphaproteobacteria; Hyphomicrobiales. The record is from RNAcentral.
AGAGUUUGAUCCUGGCUCAGAACGAACGCUGGCGGNNUGCCUAACACAUGCAAGUCGAANGGACAUCUUCGGAUGUUAGUGGCGCACGGGUGCGUAACGNGUGGGAAUCUGCCCUUAGGUUCGGAAUAACUCAGGGAAACUUGAGCUAAUACCGGAUGAUGUCUUCGGACCAAAGAUUUAUCGCCUAGGGAUGAGCCCGCGUAAGAUUAGCUAGUUGGUGGGGUAAUGGCCUACCAAGGCGACGAUCAGUAGCUGGUCUGAGAGGAUGAUCAGCCACAUUGGGACUGAGACACGGCCCAAACUCCUACGGGAGGCAGCAGUGGGGAAUAUUGGACAAUGGGCGCAAGCCUGAUCCAGCCAUGCCGCGUGAGUGAUGAAGGCCUUAGGGUUGUAAAGCUCUUUCGGCGGGGACGAUAAUGACGGUACCCGCAGAAGAAGCCCCGGCUAACUUCGUGCCAGCAGCCGCGGUAAUACGAAGGGGGCUAGCGUUGUUCGGAAUCACUGGGCGUAAAGGGCGCGUAGGCGGCCUGAUAAGUCGGGGGUGAAAGCCUGUGGCUCAACCACAGAAUUGCCUUCGAUACUGUCGGGCUUGAGACCGGAAGAGGUCAGUGGAACUGCGAGUGUAGAGGUGAAAUUCGUAGAUAUUCGCAAGAACACCAGUGGCGAAGGCGGCUGACUGGUCCGGUUCUGACGCUGAGGCGCGAAAGCGUGGGGAGCAAACAGGAUUAGAUACCCCCGUAGUCC